RNAcentral lists this ribosomal RNA (115 nucleotides) under Danio rerio (zebrafish). Lineage: Eukaryota; Metazoa; Chordata; Actinopteri; Cypriniformes; Danionidae. The record is from RNAcentral.
GCCGGCAGCUAGCUCUCUGCAACUCUCACAUGGUCGCCCACUGAAGCUAAGCAGGGCUGCGUGCGCUCAGUACCUGGAUGGGAGACCAUAUGGGAAAGCUAGGUUGCUGCCGUAA